This is a long non-coding RNA of Polypterus senegalus (gray bichir), 146 nucleotides long. RefSeq lists it as uncharacterized. The transcript has 3 exons. NCBI's taxonomy places the organism in Eukaryota, Metazoa, Chordata, Cladistia, Polypteriformes, Polypteridae. The record is from RefSeq and is a predicted model, not a curated record.
GUUUUAUUAUGUUUUCUUAGGAGCAAAUUUUUAAGAUCCAAAACAUGGAAUUGAAUAGUGAGGACCAAGUUAUUAGGAUCCGACACCUGGAAAGGAAAUGUCUGGAGAAAGCUAUUGAGCUUGAAAACAUCAAUAGAGAACUGCAA